UCCUACGGGGGGCAGCAGUGGGGAAUAUUGCACAAUGGGGGAAACCCUGAUGCAGCGACGCCGCGUGAGUGAAGAAGUAUCUCGGUACGUAAAGCUCUAUCAGCAGGGAAGAAAAUGACGGUACCUGACUAAGAAGCCCCGGCUAACUACGUGCCAGCAGCCGCGGUAAUACGUAGGGGGCAAGCGUUGUCCGGAAUUACUGGGCGUAAAGGGAGCGUAGGCGGCCUGGUAAGUCAGAUGUGAAAUACCCGUGCUUAACAUGGGGGGAGCAUCUGAUACUGUCAGGCUUGAGUGCAGGAGAGGAA
RNAcentral lists this ribosomal RNA (305 nucleotides) under uncultured bacterium. RNAcentral's name for it is "bacterial SSU rRNA". It matches the Rfam family "Bacterial small subunit ribosomal RNA", at positions 337 to 659 of the family's 1533-position model. The record is from RNAcentral.